AUCUCAGCCCUGGAGACUGAAGUCUUCUGCUUAUCCAUGGAACUGGUACCACACAGGCAGUGUCAGGGCAAGCUUCCCCAUACCAACCUGACAAUAGCUUCUAAGGGGUGGAGAACAAAGGCACUUCAGCCUCCAUGCUUAUUCAAUCAAUGUCCACU
Unclassified non-coding RNA from Chelonoidis abingdonii (Abingdon island giant tortoise), 158 nucleotides. NCBI's taxonomy places the organism in Eukaryota, Metazoa, Chordata, Testudines, Testudinidae. The record is from Ensembl.